This 490-nucleotide ribosomal RNA is filed under the name uncultured bacterium. RNAcentral describes it as "partial 16S ribosomal RNA". It matches the Rfam family "Bacterial small subunit ribosomal RNA", at positions 30 to 507 of the family's 1533-position model. The record is from RNAcentral.
AUUGAACGCUGGCGGCAGGCCUAACACAUGCAAGUCGAACGGUAACAGGAAGCAGCUUGCUGCUUCGCUGACGAGUGGCGGACGGGUGAGUAAUGUCUGGGAAGCUGCCUGAUGGAGGGGGAUAACUACUGGAAACGGUAGCUAAUACCGCAUAAUGUCGCAAGACCAAAGAGGGGGACCUUCGGGCCUCUUGCCAUCGGAUGUGCCCAGAUGGGAUUAGCUUGUUGGUGGGGUAACGGCUCACCAAGGCGACGAUCCCUAGCUGGUCUGAGAGGAUGACCAGCCACACUGGAACUGAGACACGGCCCAGACUCCUACGGGAGGCAGCAGUGGGGAAUAUUGCACAAUGGGCGCAAGCCUGAUGCAGCCAUGCCGCGUGUAUGAAGAAGGCCUUCGGGUUGUAAAGUACUUUCAGCGGGGAGGAAGGGAGUAAAGUUAAUACCUUUGCUCAUUGACGUUACCCGCAGAAGAAGCACCGGCUAACUCCGUG